CCUACGGGUGGCAGCAGUCGAGAAUCAUUCACAAUGGGGGAAACCCUGAUGGUGCGACGCCGCGUGGGGGAAUGAAGGUCUUCGGAUUGUAAACCCCUGUCAUGUGGGAGCAAAUUAAAAAGAUAGUACCACAAGAGGAAGAGACGGCUAACUCUGUGCCAGCAGCCGCGGUAAUACAGAGGUCUCAAGCGUUGUUCGGAAUCACUGGGCGUAAAGCGUGCGUAGGCUGUUUCGUAAGUCGUGUGUGAAAAGAGCGGGCUCAACCCGCGGAAGGCACAGGAUACUGCGAGACUAGAGUAAUGGGGGGGGAACCGGAAUUCUCGGUGUAGCAGUGAAAUGCGUAGAUAUCGAGCGGAACACUCGUGGCGAAGGCGGGUUCCUGGACAUUAACUGACGCUGAGGCACGAAGGCCAGGGGAGCGAAAGGGAUUAGAUACCCGGGUAGUC
This 446-nucleotide ribosomal RNA is filed under the name uncultured bacterium. Its description in RNAcentral is "partial 16S ribosomal RNA". It matches the Rfam family "Bacterial small subunit ribosomal RNA", at positions 338 to 795 of the family's 1533-position model. The record is from RNAcentral.